Molecule: small nuclear RNA, 111 nt
Filed under: Stegodyphus mimosarum
Lineage: Eukaryota; Metazoa; Arthropoda; Arachnida; Araneae; Eresidae
Source: RNAcentral
GUUACUAAAGCUUCGGCAAUACAUAUACUAAAAUUGGAACAAUACCAGAGCAGACUAGCAUGGCCCCUUUGCAAGAAUAAUGGUGCAAGUAUAGUUGAUCACCCAUCAUCA